CCCACACAGAGUCUUCACUGUGUGAUAAGCAAACUCUCCCUGAGCUCAGGCCAAGUUCCACAUUAGUGGUGAAGUCAUGGGAGGGAGGGAAAGCUGAGUCCUGGAUGAGCAACAUUCACGGAAGGGGGCAUUCAACAGCACUUAUCAUCUACCCAUACCUACAGGCAGCAGGGCCUCCCUAUUUCACUCCAGGGCUCUUGUGAGGAUGAAGCAAGAGUAUGGAUGCAUAGUGUUUCAUAAUCAUAAAGCAAUAUGAGACAUUAGGAGAACCUUACACCUAUGAGAUUAUAAGACCACACACACACUAAAGCUAAAAGUUACUGGAGCUCCCAUCUACUACAGACCGGUCAGAAAUGAAGAUGGAGCGUGUUGAAAAACUUGGUAAGUCACCAUGAAGAUUGUACUCAAUUCACAGAAUGUCAAAUUCCCUACAACUCUUCCCUGAUACAGCAACUGCAAAAAGUGAAGUUUGCCUGCAUCACUAUCAACAGUGUGGGACAGAGUGAGGUGACUGGGAACAGUCAGGCCAGUUAGUUACACAAGUCCUUGUAGGCCUGGAGCCAAAGGCUUGUUUGCCUUCCUGUGUGGUGGUGUGCAAAUGUCCAGGACCCUGUUUAACCUUCUCUCAUCUCAGGCCUGACUGGCCAAAUAAACAUUGCAGAAUCUCAGUUCACUGCCGUGAGGAUAAAGGGAGGAGAGAUCCUGACACCCAGAUCAGAGGAAUACUUAGGCCCAGGUCCUCAUCCUAGAGAUUUACCUGAAACCUCUGAAUCACAGAAUUUCAGAGUUGGAAGGGACCUUUGUUACUGUUCAAUUGUUCCAGCCAUG
Molecule: long non-coding RNA, 828 nt
Organism: Phascolarctos cinereus (koala)
Lineage: Eukaryota; Metazoa; Chordata; Mammalia; Diprotodontia; Phascolarctidae
Source: RefSeq, a predicted model, not a curated record